AUACAGAGGGUGCAAACGUUGCUCGGAAUUACUGGGCGUAAAGCGCGUGUAGGCGGACUGAUAAGUCAGAUGUGAAAUCCCUGGGCUCAACCUAGGAACUGCAUUUGAAACUGUCUGUCUUGAGUAUCGGAGAGGAUUGCGGAAUUCCUGGUGUAGAGGUGAAAUUCGUAGAUAUUAGGAGGAACACCAGUGGCGAAGGCGACUUACUGGACUGUAACUGACACUGAGGCACGAAAGCGUGGGUAGC
This 247-nucleotide ribosomal RNA is filed under the name uncultured bacterium. RNAcentral describes it as "partial 16S ribosomal RNA". It matches the Rfam family "Bacterial small subunit ribosomal RNA", at positions 523 to 769 of the family's 1533-position model. The record is from RNAcentral.